UGGGGAAUUUUGCACAAUGGGGGGAACCUUGAUGCAGCGACGCCGCGUGAGGGAUGGAGGCCUUCGGGUUGUGAACCUCUUUCGCUCGUGUGCAAGCCGCUAUUUGGGUAGUGGUGAGUGUAGCGUGUAAAGAAGCGCCGGCUAACUACGUGCCAGCAGCCGCGGUAAUACGUAGGGCGCGAGCGUUGUCCGGAUUUAUUGGGCGUAAAGGGCUUGUAGGCGGUUUGUCGCGCCUGUCGUGUAAUCCUCUGGCUUAACUGGGGGAGUGCGGUGGGUACGGGCAAGCUUGAGUGCGGUAGGGGAGGAUGGAAUUCCUGGUGUAGCGGUGGAAUGCGCAGAUAUCAGGAGGAACACCGGUGGCGAAGGCGGGUCUCUGGGCCGUUACUGACGCUGAGGAGCGAAAGCGUGGGGAGCGAACAGG
Molecule: ribosomal RNA, 421 nt
Filed under: Fusobacteriota bacterium
Lineage: Bacteria; Fusobacteriati; Fusobacteriota
Description: Fusobacteria bacterium partial 16S ribosomal RNA
Rfam family: Bacterial small subunit ribosomal RNA
Source: RNAcentral